GAACGAGAAAGUGGAGCAAUCCAUGAGUAAAGUGGCGACCGGGUGAGUAACACGUGACUAACCUGCCCUUGAGUGGGGGAUAACCUCGGGAAACCGGGGCUAAUACCGCAUAACAUCACGAGGGGAAGAUCCUUGUGAUCAAAGGAGCAAUUCGCUCAAGGAGGGGGUCGCGGCUGAUUAGCCAGUUGGUGAGGUAACGGCUCACCAAAGCAAAGAUCAGUAGCCGGCCUGAGAGGGCGCACGGCCACACUGGAACUGAAACACGGUCCAGACUCCUACGGGAGGCAGCAGUGGGGAAUUUUGCGCAAUGGGGGAAACCCUGACGCAGCAACGCCGCGUGGAGGAUGAAGCCCCUUGGGGUGUAAACUCCUUUCGAUCGGGACGAUAAUGACGGUACCGGAUGAAGAAGCACCGGCUAACUCUGUG
RNAcentral lists this ribosomal RNA (426 nucleotides) under uncultured bacterium. Its description in RNAcentral is "bacterial SSU rRNA". It matches the Rfam family "Bacterial small subunit ribosomal RNA", at positions 64 to 507 of the family's 1533-position model. The record is from RNAcentral.